This 1080-nucleotide ribosomal RNA is filed under the name Leptospirillum ferrooxidans. Its description in RNAcentral is "bacterial SSU rRNA". It matches the Rfam family "Bacterial small subunit ribosomal RNA", at positions 28 to 1082 of the family's 1533-position model. Lineage: Bacteria; Pseudomonadati; Nitrospirota; Nitrospiria; Nitrospirales; Nitrospiraceae. The record is from RNAcentral.
AACGAACGCUGGCGGCGUGCCUAACACAUGCAAGUCCGACGUGAAAGGGGAGCAAUCCCCCGGUAGGGUGGCANACGGGUGAGUAAUACAUGGGUGAUCUACCUUAGGGAUGGGGAUAUCCUUCCGAAAGGAGGGGCAAUACCGAAUAUUGUCCGGAGCCGUGAAGGGUUCCGGGGAAAGGGAGGCCUCUGAUACAAGCUUUCGCCUUAAGAUGAGCCCAUGGCCCAUCAGCUAGUUGGUAGGGUAAAGGCCUACCAAGGCUACGACGGGUCGCUGGUCUGAGAGGACGACCAGCCACACUGGCACUGAGAUACGGGCCAGACUCCUACGGGAGGCAGCAGUGAGGAAUAUUGCNCAAUGGGGGAAACCCUGACGCAGCAACGCCGCGUGUGGGAAGAAGGCCUUCGGGUCGUAAACCACUUUUGCACGGGACGAAAAAGGGAUAUCGAACAAAUAUCCCCGAUGACGGUACCGUGAGAAUAAGCCACGGCUAACUCUGUGCCAGCAGCCGCGGUAAGACAGAGGUGGCAAGCGUUGUUCGGAAUUACUGGGCGUAAAGAGUCUGUAGGUGGUUUGUCAAGUCUUUGGUGAAAGGCCGUAGCUUAACUAUGGGAAUGCCAAAGAGACUGGCAGGCUGGAGGCUGGGAGAGGGAAGCGGAAUUUCUGGUGUAGCGGUGAAAUGCGUAGAUAUCAGAAGGAAGGCCGGUGGCGAAGGCGGCUUCCUGGAACAGUCCUGACACUGAGAGACGAAAGCGUGGGGAGCACACAGGAUUAGAUACCCUGGUAGUCCACGCCCUAAACGAUGGGUACUANGUGUGGAGGGGUUAAACCCUCCGUGCCGCAGCAAACGCAGUAAGUACCCCGCCUGGGGAGUACGGCCGCAAGGUUGAAACUCAAAGGAAUUGACGGGGGCCCGCACAAGCGGUGGUGCAUGUGGUUUAAUUCGACGCAACGCGAGGAACCUUACCUAGGCUUGACAUGUGGUGAGUAGCGAACCGAAAGGGGAGCGACCCGUCAAAUCGGGCCAUCACACAGGUGCUGCAUGGCUGUCGUCAGCUCGUGCCGUGAGGUGUUGGGUUC